CGUUCCCGGGCCUUGUACACACCGCCCGUCACGUCAUGAAAGUCGGUAACACCCGAAGCCGGUGGCCCAACCCUUGUGGAGGGAGCCGUCGAAGGUGGGAUCGGCGAUUAGGACG
RNAcentral lists this ribosomal RNA (115 nucleotides) under uncultured bacterium. RNAcentral's name for it is "partial 16S ribosomal RNA". It matches the Rfam family "Bacterial small subunit ribosomal RNA", at positions 1369 to 1482 of the family's 1533-position model. The record is from RNAcentral.